RNAcentral lists this ribosomal RNA (253 nucleotides) under uncultured bacterium. RNAcentral describes it as "partial 16S ribosomal RNA". It matches the Rfam family "Bacterial small subunit ribosomal RNA", at positions 524 to 776 of the family's 1533-position model. The record is from RNAcentral.
UACGGAGGGGACUAGCGUUGUUCGGAAUUACUGGGCGUAAAGCGCACGUAGGCGGAUCGAUCAGUCAGGGGUGAAAUCCCAGAGCUCAACUCUGGAACUGCCUUUGAUACUGUCGAUCUAGAGUAUGGAAGAGGUGAGUGGAAUUCCGAGUGUAGAGGUGAAAUUCGUAGAUAUUCGGAGGAACACCAGUGGCGAAGGCGGCUCACUGGACCGUUACUGACGCUGAGGCGCGAAAGCGUGGGGAGCAAACAGG